Long non-coding RNA from Culicoides brevitarsis, 395 nucleotides. RefSeq lists it as uncharacterized. NCBI's taxonomy places the organism in Eukaryota, Metazoa, Arthropoda, Insecta, Diptera, Ceratopogonidae. The record is from RefSeq and is a predicted model, not a curated record. The transcript has 3 exons.
GUAGUAAAAUGAUUCAAAUGAAAUAAAAUAAACGAUUUUAAUCCUCUUUAUUAUUUUUCAUUGUACUUCUGUGCAUAUGUACGAAAAUAGCAACAACGAUGUCAGGAACGACAAGAAAAGAGGAGACAGGAUGUACAGUGUGAAUUGAAAAGUAACAUACAGAACUUUUGACACAAAAUUACACAAACAUAAUGAAUGAGAUUUUCGGGCACUUAUGAAUGAAGUUUAUUUACAUAAUUUGUGGGCUGCAUAAGAUGAGAUCUUCUUCCUUUAAUUCUUUAAAAUUGUGUCUCUCUAAAACUGUCGAAAUUUAACACUCAUCAAAAAUAUUUGCAAUGGUCGUCCCAAAUCUAUUAUUAUUAAUACAUAUUAUUAUCAAAUUGAACCAAUCAGAG